Molecule: ribosomal RNA, 228 nt
Filed under: uncultured bacterium
Lineage: Bacteria
Description: partial 16S ribosomal RNA
Rfam family: Bacterial small subunit ribosomal RNA
Source: RNAcentral
CGGGUGAGUAAUGCAUAGGAAUCUGCCCAGUAGUGGGGGAUAACGUGGAGAAAUCCACGCUAAUACCGCAUAUGUCCUACGGGACAAAGCAGGGGACCUUCGGGCCUUGCGCUAUUGGAUGAGCCUAUGUCGGAUUAGCUAGUUGGUAGGGUAAAAGCCUACCAAGGCGACGAUCCGUAGCUGGUCUGAGAGGAUGAUCAGCCACACUGGGACUGAGACACGGCCCAG